UGCUUUGAAGUUGUAAUUUUGAAAAUGAAUAUUAUCUUCGUAAGAAAGAAACUCAAAAGAAUUGACGGAGACCACACAAACAAACAGUGUUGCAUCUGAUUUACUUCAAUGGAACUCGAAGAAUUUUACCGGGACUUGACAUUGUGUGAAUCCUCUUUUGGUGCACGAUUGUCGUUAGCUGGUGCCAUAAGAUGCUGGUUUAAGUCCUGCAAUGAGCGUAAUCCUCGUAUUUAAUUACUAUUAGUGAAUUUGGAACCCUAAACAGAUUGCCGGUGACGAAGUUGAGGAUGAUGUCAUGCCCCUUAUUCACGAGACGACACACGUGCUACAAUGUCCAAGAUAAAUGUUCUUGAUCCCGCAAGAGUGAGAUAACUCCAUAAACCUGUCCUCAAUUCGGAUUGCAGACUGCAACUCGGUUGCAUGAAGUCGGAGUCGCUAGUAAUUGUGGUUCAGCCAUAACGACUGUGAAUUCUUUUGGGUCCUAUGCACACCGCCUAUCAGAUUAUAUAAGCUGACCAUACCCGAAGUCUUUACAAUAACUACAAUGAGAAAAUGUCAAAGACAGCCUUACUGGUAGGUGUGGCUGGAUCACUUUCUUU
Non-coding RNA from Daucus carota subsp. sativus, 599 nucleotides. Lineage: Eukaryota; Viridiplantae; Streptophyta; Magnoliopsida; Apiales; Apiaceae. The record is from Rfam.